This 700-nucleotide ribosomal RNA is filed under the name bacterium YN06B-19. Its description in RNAcentral is "bacterial SSU rRNA". It matches the Rfam family "Bacterial small subunit ribosomal RNA", at positions 58 to 753 of the family's 1533-position model. The record is from RNAcentral.
CAAGUCGAGCGGUAGAGAGAAGCUUGCUUCUCUUGAGAGCGGCGGACGGGUGAGUAAUGCCUAGGAAUCUGCCUGGUAGUGGGGGAUAACGUUCGGAAACGGACGCUAAUACCGCAUACGUCCUACGGGAGAAAGCAGGGGACCUUCGGGCCUUGCGCUAUCAGAUGAGCCUAGGUCGGAUUAGCUAGUUGGUGAGGUAAUGGCUCACCAAGGCGACGAUCCGUAACUGGUCUGAGAGGAUGAUCAGUCACACUGGAACUGAGACACGGUCCAGACUCCUACGGGAGGCAGCAGUGGGGAAUAUUGGACAAUGGGCGAAAGCCUGAUCCAGCCAUGCCGCGUGUGUGAAGAAGGUCUUCGGAUUGUAAAGCACUUUAAGUUGGGAGGAAGGGUUGUAGAUUAAUACUCUGCAAUUUUGACGUUACCGACAGAAUAAGCACCGGCUAACUCUGUGCCAGCAGCCGCGGUAAUACAGAGGGUGCAAGCGUUAAUCGGAAUUACUGGGCGUAAAGCGCGCGUAGGUGGUUUGUUAAGUUGGAUGUGAAAUCCCCGGGCUCAACCUGGGAACUGCAUUCAAAACUGACUGACUAGAGUAUGGUAGAGGGUGGUGGAAUUUCCUGUGUAGCGGUGAAAUGCGUAGAUAUAGGAAGGAACACCAGUGGCGAAGGCGACCACCUGGACUAAUACUGACACUGAGGUG